Long non-coding RNA from Betta splendens (Siamese fighting fish), 1548 nucleotides. Lineage: Eukaryota; Metazoa; Chordata; Actinopteri; Anabantiformes; Osphronemidae. The record is from Ensembl.
AUGACCUCCAUUCGGUGCCUCGCGUUUUUGCUUCUCCUCCUGUGCCACCGUGUCCACAGUGAGGCUCCAGAGCCCGUGUUCAGAACCCGGGGCAGCAACAUCGAGCUGGGAUACUGUUUUGGAGUGGAUUACAUCCUGGUCUACAGAUCCUCGCCAGAAGGCGAUCAGCUGCUCGGCAACUCCUCCGACAGCGCGGCACCUGUCGCGCCUCCCGCUGACCUGCGGGGCCGGGUCCACGUCAACAAGCAGGAGCUGCUGCUCGGGCUGCAGAUCGCCAACCUCACGCACGCCGACUCCGCGAAUUACAGGAGGGAGUGCUGGCAGAACCGGACGCUCGUCGUUCAGGUCACGCAGCAGCUGUCCGUGUGCAAUGAGGAGGUCGACGCAGAGGAAAUCAUAGUGAGGGAGGAGGAGGAGUGGACCGAGCUUCUGUGCGGCAGCGGCUCCAUGGGACUGGAGGGCCUCUCUGUGCGCUGGUACCAGGAAAUGUAUCCGUCCUAUAAGACCACGCUCAUCCUGGAUACCAGCGUGUCACUGGAGCCGCUGGUAACGGAGCUGCAGAACCGCACAAAGGUCAAAGCCAGCGGGCUGGUGCUCGUGGUCGAGUCGGAGCUAUUAAACAAUAACCAGCAAUAUUACUGUCUUGUGAUUAAAGGUGAGAACUGCCUCGCUUUUCAAAACAUGUACCUCCCUGUUCAAAGCGAGAACAGGGAGAUUUAUGCCUCCGCAGGAGAGCGAGUGGUUCUGUAUUGCCCCUCCGAUGGUCAUAACCUGCAGUGGGACACACCAUUAGGGAAUAUUAAUGGCAGCGGCAUCACAAAGAAUCAGCUGCAUAUAAGAAAAGGGGACGAAGACUUCUCACUGGUCAUUCCUUCAGUCUCCGACGAACACAACGGCCACUAUUCCUGUAUCUCCUCUGCACUUGAGAUGCAGUACUCGCUGGUACUCUGCCCCAAAGAGGAACCCUCAGCGCCCCAGACAGUGGUCCAAGGCCAGCAGAUCGUCAUAGGCUGUGAUGCGGGGGAUGAUAGAGUGCAGUGGUUCCACAGACGAUCCAGGGAACACGUGAUGGAGCUUAUCCAUGACUCAAAAGCUGGCACGGAUUCAGUCCCAGAGGAUUUGAAGGGCAGACUGAGUUUGUCCAGGAACGGCUCCUCCCUAGAAAUCACCAACUCAGUGAUGAACGACGGAGGCGUGUACUCUUGCGUUGUACUAAGAGAGCCUGAGUUUGUAUUGAUUGAUUAUGACAGUGAUUAUGGUGACAACUUUACAGUUGGAGACUAUGAGGACGACCCAGAAUGGGAGGACUCCUACGGGUGCAUCCUUAAGCAGGACACCACCUUGACUGUGAAAACUGGAACCAGAGUUGAGCCGGAGAAAGAAACUAACUUAACCCCACACAUCUUAGGGGCAGGACUGGGAGGACUGGUACUUCUGGUUGGAGUGAUUGUCGCCGUGAUUCUUGUUAGGAGGACGGUCAGAAAAAGAAAAGAGGAACAAAAUAAUCGGGAGAGAAAUGCGACUGAGCAACCAAUGUUGGCCACAUGA